UGGAGAUCUCCUUUGGAGCCCUGGAAUACACAUUUUGUUUUAAUUUAUCCAGGAUCCAGAAAAGUCCUUCAAAGUACCACUUGGCUGAACCACAGAAGAGUGGCUCAUAGGCUGCCAAGUUCCAAACUGAGCUGCACAACUUACGAAUUCCUGCAAACAAAACCCUGGCCCUGCUUCCAAAGACCUGGAUGACUGCAUUCCUGGUUACCAGGAUACAGCAGAACAAGUUGCAAUGUCCCAUCACAGGAAAUAUAAAGAAUGCUCCAGCAACUGCCAGCAUUUUCCCACCAGGAUUCCAGCCAGCUGUCCUUUAUGCUGCUUGGCACAAGAACUGAAGAGGCAUUAAGAAUAGCAGCAGCUUCUUCAGUGCCAGGCACUGUGCUAAACACUUCCAUCCUGUGAUCCCCAGGCAGCCGUCAUUGCAGGCGUUUUCACUAAAUGGCUGACUCUGCCUAAGGUUGCAGGCUGAAUCUGCGUACUAGGAUUUUAAUCCUGGCAUAGCCACCUCUUGAGGGUCUCUGCCUGGGAAACAGACAGGAUGGAAGCACCCCAUUGAAGAAAUUUUUAGAUAUUAAAAAUUUACAAAUGUUUCCAUGUACCAGUCACCCAAUUUUCUUACUGAUACUAUCUUAUCUGUAUUUAUCAGAAGAAAUAAAUGUUGGUACUUUCUAAA
This is a long non-coding RNA of Marmota monax (woodchuck), 673 nucleotides long. RefSeq lists it as uncharacterized. NCBI's taxonomy places the organism in Eukaryota, Metazoa, Chordata, Mammalia, Rodentia, Sciuridae. The transcript is spliced from 2 exons. The record is from RefSeq and is a predicted model, not a curated record.